UACGGAGGGUGCAAGCGUUGUCCGGGAUCACUGGGCGUAAAGGGCGCGUAGGCGGCUCAUGAAGGCUGUGGUGAAAGUCCGGGGCUCAACCUCGGAUCGGCCGUGGCGACUCGUGGGCUGGAGCACUGUAGAGGCGGGUGGAAUUCCGGGUGUAGCGGUGGAAUGCGUAGAGAUCCGGAAGAACACCAGUGGCGAAGGCGGCCCGCUGGGCAGUGGCUGACGCUGAGGCGCGACAGCGUGGGGAGCAAACAGG
This 253-nucleotide ribosomal RNA is filed under the name uncultured bacterium. Its description in RNAcentral is "partial 16S ribosomal RNA". It matches the Rfam family "Bacterial small subunit ribosomal RNA", at positions 524 to 776 of the family's 1533-position model. The record is from RNAcentral.